This 28-nucleotide small RNA is filed under the name Bombyx mori (domestic silkworm). Its description in RNAcentral is "piRNA piR-bmo-1535946". Lineage: Eukaryota; Metazoa; Arthropoda; Insecta; Lepidoptera; Bombycidae. The record is from RNAcentral.
UGAUGAUGUACCGAUCUGACUUAUCCGU